CCGGUUUGGGGCAAGCCUGGCGGUCCUCGUGGGCGUGGGCGUCCCGGAGCAGGUGCUACCGCCGGGCCUCAGCCCUGGACGCGUGUCACCCGGGGAAGCUUCUGCUUUUCCACUUGGGCCACAGACAAGUCAAGAAAAACAUUUUCUGUCUUUUGAGCUAUCUGUAGCUUUUCAAGCAAUGUAUGUACUUAUGAGCAGAAUUUGGAACAUGUAUUUUUUUCUCUCUCCUUGAUUUCUCCAGACUUCGAAAGCCAUUUGACAUGAUGAAGGCACUGGUUAUUUUACCAAGGCUUUGGCUGGAAUAGUACUUCUGGCGUAUCCAGACUGUGUUAAGUAAUUAAGGUUGACUAUAUAAAGCCAAUAAAAAAAGCCCUUUGAAAAACUGGCCAGAUACCCAUCAGUAACAUUUCCUGAUCUGUGGUAAGUAACAAAGGUCACUUGCUGACGGGUUCGGGAAUCGAAGUGUGCUUGGGGACCUCAAGAAAAGAGGAAUUUACCCAAAUGCAUGCAAGUAUCUAAUGGCACAGAUGAAACCUGGGCUCUGAAAGGCUUUCAGGAAAGUCCAACUUAAGGUUCCUUAUAAAAGAUUCCAGCAAAGCCAAUUUUAAAGGAAAAAAGAGCCUAGAUGGCCAAUAACUAAUUAUUCUUACUGCACUUUAUGCAAAUAAUCAGACCCAGUAUACUGAAGGUACAGUUUAUUUUGUCAAGUAAGUUAGUUCUGCUAUACUUUGUUUUUAGUAAAGAGAGAAAUUGGACGGGCGGUGCCUGUGGCUCAGCGGGUAGGGCGUCGGUCCCAUAUGCCGGAGGUGGCAGGUUCAAACCCAGCCCCGGCCAAAUUAAAAAAAAAAAGAGAGAGAAAUUGGAGAGAGAAAAAUGAUUCAAAGAGAAAAGAGGCUGUGGCCCACCUGUAUUAAAUCCCAGCCUUGUCUGUACUAUCAACUCAUAAAAUGAGACACAACUGUUUACUACGUUAAUCUGUUAAGUGGAACUAAAAGACUGGUCAAAGAGUAUAGAAUUAUAUACAGUAGUUAUAUUUACUCUGAAUUAUAUACAGUAGUUAUAUUUACUCUGAAGCCUUAAGACUCAACAAAGGUCGCCUGUUGGCUACACUGGAAAAAUUUGUGCAGUAUUAAAUAUUAUCUACUGUGUUUAUAUAGAUACCUCAGGAAAAAUUAAAACCUAAAAUGAGAAUUUCUUAGUAAAUGAUGUAACUGUAACAGUGUAUCCUACUGUGACUAAUCUUUAUACUCUGCUGAGUCUGCUAUCACCAGAAGCCAAGUGGCCCACUUGCCUGGACUUAAAAGAUGCCUUUUUCAGUAUAAGGCUGGCUCCAGGAAGCCAGAGGCUAUUUGCUUUCCAGUGGGAGAGACCAGUUAUGGAAACUGCAAUCCAGUACACAUGGAGCAGGUUGCCAGAGGGGUUGAAAACACCCACGAUUUUUGGAGAAGCACUGGCUUGUGACCUCCAGAAAUUCCCGGCUGAGAAAUUAGAAUGUGUGCUGCUCCAAUAUGACGAUGACCUCCUUUUAGGACACCCUACCCAAGAGGCUGCACCCAGGGCAUGGACUGUCUUUUAUGACAUCUAGAGGUGUGAGGUGUGUGACUACGAAGUGUCUAAAUGAAAGGCCCAGAUUUGCCAGUGGCAAACACGUUGUCUAGGAUUUACCAUCCAGCAGGGGUAGAGGUACCUAGGCAUGAAAUGGAGGCAGGUCAUUAAUUGCCUCCUCCCCACCACGAGCCGAAAGCAGGUUCGGAAAGUCCUAGGCCCCAUUGGCUUCUGUCGCCUUUGGAUUCCCAACUUUGCCAUCUUGGCUGUCUUGGCUAAGCCCUUAUAUGAGGCAACUAAAGAAGACGAAGGAGAGCCCUUAGAAUGAAGGAGAACAGGAACAUGCCUUCUCCCAGCUAAAGAUGAGGCUGAUAAAUGCACCUGCACUGGGGCUACCAGACUUGGACAAGCCCUUCACUCUCUAUAUCCCAGAGAGAUGAAAGAUGUCUGUAGGUGUGUUAACCCCACUGGUUGGGUCCUGGCCAAGGCCUGUAGCUUUCCUCUCUAAGCAGUUGGAGUGGCAAAAAGAUGGCCACCAUGCUUUUGGGCUCUAGCUACUACGGCUCUCCUUGGGCAAGAAGCUGAUAAGCUGACUCUAGGGCAGAAUCUCAGAGUAAAAGUACCCUACUCUGUGGUCACUUUAAUGGACACUAAAGGACAUUUUUGGCUUUCUAAUAUAAUAACACCCUGAACCAAGCCACGUUCCUUCCAGUCAGUGGAAGAGAGACUGAGCAUGACUGUACAGAAGUUAAUGUGUGUUCUAGCAGACCUGACUUGCGCAAACAACCUUGGACAUUUGCAAACUGGGACUUGUAUGUAGACUGAAACAGUUACAUGAAGGCACAAGGUGAGCAGUAGGCUGGGUAUACAAUGGUUACCUUAACAGAGACUGUAGAGGCUAAUCCCCUACCCCAAGGAACAUCGGCUCAAAAAGCUGAGUUAAUUGCCUUGACUGAAGCCUUAGAACUAAGUCAAGGGAAAAAUGUGAAUGUUUUUCUGACUCUCCAAGUACGCAGGACAUUGUUCAAGGAGAAGGGACUAUUAAAUUCUGGGGAAAAGGACAUUAAAUAUCAGUAGGAGAUACUUCAGUUACUAGAGGCAGUAUGGAAACCCUGGAAGGUGGCAGUGCUACAUUGUCGUGGACAUCAAGGAGAUGUUUCCACCAUCACUAAAGGAAACACUAGGGUUGAUACUGAAGCAAAAAGGACUGCAUCCAAACUGUACCAGGUGUCACGAGUGGCUCCCCUCAUCCCAUGGGUUCUGGAGCUCUCACCUAUCUACUCCUAGGAAGAGAAGGAACAGUUGACAGCGGCGAGGAGCCAGGAAAUGGAGGGAGAAUGGAUAAAGAUGCCAGACGAACAAGUAGCAGUCCCCCAGGUUCUAGGAGCCACCAUGGUGACAAGAGUAUUUGGUGAAGUUGCUGGGCCAGUACCUCUACAUCUCCCACCUGGCAGCCCUGGCCAAAACUGUCAGUCUAUAGUGUGUCACCUGCAGCCAGUUCAAAGUGCGCCAAGGACUGAUGGUACCCCUAGGAAUCCAAUCAUAUGGAGCAAUGUCCUUCGAGAACUUCCAGGUAGACUUUACUGAAAUGCCCAGGUUUAAAAGGAGUAAGUACUUGCUGAUGAUGGUCUUUCAGACUUGGAAUAGGUAAAAGCCUUUCCCACCAGGAAAAAAGGACUCCUGAAGUAGUGAAGUAUUGCCCAGAGAAAUCGUCCCAUGGUUUAGGUUGCCACGCUGGUUUAAAUUUGACAAUGGGCUAGCCUUCAUAACAGAGCUAGUGCAAAUAAUAAGCUAAAGCUUUGAAUAACUUAUGUGCCUCAAAGUUUAGACAGGGUAAAAUGCAUGAACAGAACCAUAAGAACAGAAAUUGGUAAAUUCUGCCAGGAAGCAAAGCUUAAUUGGAUACAGGCCUUGCCACUGGUGUUGUUCAAAGAGGCCUCUGUCAAUCCUCUGCAAUUUAGCAGACACUCCUAAAAGAACUGGGAAAGCAUGACCUGAAUAGACAAAAACCCUAGAGAAAGUAUCAAGGAAAAUAUCCACUGGGGUAAUUAACUGUGUUCUGUUUAGUCUUUUUUUUUUUUUUUUUUUUUUUUUGCAGUUUUUGGCUGGAGCUGGGUUUGAACCCACCACCUCCGGCAUAUGGAGCUGGCGCCCUACUCCCUUGAGCCACAGGCACCACCCUGUUCUGUUUAGUCUUUUGUUGUCUGUACAUCCUUUCUCUCUGGAGGAUCAUGGGGACCAAGUCUAGGUCCAGAAUCAGAACCUGGUCUCCCUGAAACCAAGGUAAAAAGGACUUUUCACCAUCAUCCUGACCACAAGCACAGCAGUGAAGGUAAAAGGAAUCCUCACCUGGAGUCAUCACAGCUGGCUGAAUAGGGCUUUACUGUCCCUUGGAAAGUAAAGGUAACUUUUAAGACAGUCAACAUGCCCUGCUCCAGCCAUAUACUGAAAGCUGACUGGUCAACGCAUGGCUGAAGCCUGAGGAAACUCCUCAAAGGACUUGUCUGUCUUAAUUGGACUUUGGACUUUGGAAAAAAGGGGUGGGGGGUUGUCACAAGGAAAAGUAAAAACUUGCAUGUAAAUUAGCCCACCACCAUGGUACUAUUAAGGCCUGAGUAGAGAACCUAAAAACCUUAGUGCUAAAAAUUAAUAUUGGCACCUGCAGAAACAAGCUGAUAUUGAGACCCCAAAUUAAAAUAUAUUGGAGUCUCAAAAGGGGGGAAUGAGAGAGGAUACCUGAGAAGGUUGAGAUCUAAGAGAACAGGUCUUCUCAAGGAGACCACAAGGCUACACCUGCAGGGUCCUCUCCACGGUGACUCAGCUCUUGGGAAUUUGUAAACUUAACUUCCUGGAACUUGGAAAUUUCCAAGUUCUGUGAAAUCCUGUAGUUCUGUAGGGGCUGGAAUAGCAUCUCCCGCUUGAUUCACACUGGCCAAUGAGAAGGGUACCUGUGGGGUGGAACAUUUUGACUGCCAAUAAAAAGGGAAAACCAAGCCAGUCUGGAGCAUGGCCAUUUGGAAUUCUUCUAUGCUGUAAGCUCCCGGCUGGUGAAUAAAGCCCUUCCUCUUAUAAACAUGGUGUUUGGGUGCUCUUUCUCUCCCUUGGGCCUUGUCUUCCUGCAACAGUUCUGUAGCCCUGGAUACAGUGCUGUGGCAUCAUAGCUCAAAGCAACCUCAAACUCUGGGGUUUGAACAAUCCUCUUGCCUCCGCCUCCCAAGUAGCUGGGACUAUAGGCAUGCACCAUGACAUCUAGCUAGUUUUUCUCUUUUUAGUAGAGAUGGGGUCUCACUCUUGAUCAGGCUGCCUUCAAAUGCCUGAGCUCAAACAAUCUACCCACCCCACCCUCCCAGAGGCUAGGUUGUAGGUGUGAGCCAGAUAGUGGAGCCAGAUAUACCCAGCCCACAAAAGGAAUUUAAA
Molecule: long non-coding RNA, 4962 nt
Organism: Nycticebus coucang (slow loris)
Lineage: Eukaryota; Metazoa; Chordata; Mammalia; Primates; Lorisidae
Exons: 3
Source: RefSeq, a predicted model, not a curated record